CCCUUAGAUGUCCUGGGCGGCCCGCGCACUACAAUGGCGCUUUCAGCGAGUUCCUAUGUUGAAUUUUCCUGGGUAUUCUUGGAAGCGGCGUCUUGACUUGGGAUAGAUCCUUGUAAUUGUUGGUUUUGAACGAGGAAUUCCUUGUAAUCGCGGUUGAUCAGCUCGCGUUGAAUACGUCCCUGCCCUUUGUACACACCGCCCGUCGCUCCUACCGAUGAAUCGUCCGGUGAAGUUCACAGAGUGGCGGUUCGUGGAGUUGCUCGCGAAGUGAAAUGGACCUCACGAUUUAGAGGAAGGAGAAGUCGUAACA
This 310-nucleotide ribosomal RNA is filed under the name uncultured eukaryote. RNAcentral's name for it is "partial 18S ribosomal RNA". It matches the Rfam family "Eukaryotic small subunit ribosomal RNA", at positions 1470 to 1796 of the family's 1831-position model. The record is from RNAcentral.